CGGAUUGUAGUCUGNAACCCGACUACAUGAAGCUGGAAUCGCUAGUAAUCGCGGAUCAGAAUGCCGCGGUGAAUACGUUCCCGGGUCUUGUACACACCGCCCGUCACACCAUGGGAGUCGGAAAUGCCCGAAGUCGGUGACCGAACCGAAAGGAAGGAGCCGCCGAAGGCAGGUCUGGUGACUGGGGUGAAGUCGUAACAAGGUAGC
This 207-nucleotide ribosomal RNA is filed under the name uncultured bacterium. RNAcentral's name for it is "partial 16S ribosomal RNA". It matches the Rfam family "Bacterial small subunit ribosomal RNA", at positions 1294 to 1500 of the family's 1533-position model. The record is from RNAcentral.